Molecule: ribosomal RNA, 253 nt
Filed under: uncultured bacterium
Lineage: Bacteria
Description: partial 16S ribosomal RNA
Rfam family: Bacterial small subunit ribosomal RNA
Source: RNAcentral
UACGUAGGGGGCAAGCGUUGUCCGGAUUUAUUGGGCGUAAAGAGCGUGUAGGCGGCCAGGUAGGUCAGCUGUGAAAACUCGAGGCUCAACCUCGAGACGUCGGUUGAAACCACCUGGCUAGAGUCCGGAAGAGGAGAGUGGAAUUCCUGGUGUAGCGGUGAAAUGCGCAGAUAUCAGGAAGAACACCCGUGGCGAAGGCGGCUCUCUGGGACGGUACUGACGCUGAGACACGAAAGCGUGGGGAGCAAACAGG